This 497-nucleotide ribosomal RNA is filed under the name uncultured bacterium. Its description in RNAcentral is "partial 16S ribosomal RNA". It matches the Rfam family "Bacterial small subunit ribosomal RNA", at positions 28 to 507 of the family's 1533-position model. The record is from RNAcentral.
GAUGAACGCUGGCGGCGUGCCUAAUACAUGCAAGUCGAGCGAACAGACGAGGAGCUUGCUCCUCUGACGUUAGCGGCGGACGGGUGAGUAACACGUGGAUAACCUACCUAUAAGACUGGGAUAACUUCGGGAAACCGGAGCCAAUACCGGAUAAUAUAUUGAACCGCAUGGUUCAAUAGUGAAAGACGGUUUUGCUGUCACUUAUAGAUGGAUCCGCGCCGCAUUAGCUAGUUGGUAAGGUAACGGCUUACCAAGGCAACGAUGCGUAGCCGACCUGAGAGGGUGAUCGGCUAAACUGGAACUGAGACACGGUCCAGACUCCUACGGGAGGCAGCAGUAGGGAAUCUUCCGCAAUGGGCGAAAGCCUGACGGAGCAACGCCGCGUGAGUGAUGAAGGUCUUCGGAUCGUAAAACUCUGUUAUUAGGGAAGAACAAAUGUGUAAGUAACUAUGCACGUCUUGACGGUACCUAAUCAGAAAGCCACGGCUAACUACGUG